RNAcentral lists this long non-coding RNA (303 nucleotides) under Gossypium barbadense (sea-island cotton). RNAcentral describes it as "long non-coding RNA (GBAR_LNC009160)". The record is from RNAcentral. Lineage: Eukaryota; Viridiplantae; Streptophyta; Magnoliopsida; Malvales; Malvaceae.
GGCUAAAUGAUCUCCUUCUUAUCGACAAACCUCUAUAAGGCGCAUCUUGUGUCAUGGUCACGGGCUUUGCACUUUGACUCGUGAUAUUCUCCCCCACCCAUUCUCAUAACGCCAUCGUUGUGACUUUCGAAUGGAACUGACUUGAUUCACCUUGGAACUCUCUCGUUGGCUUGGUUUCCUCCAAACUUGUCUUGUAAUUGGGCUGUCCUCUCUUUCGAAACCUUUGCCUCGGCUUCCGUCACCUCUUAACUUGAAUCGUUACACUCGUUGGUACAUCUCGUUGGCAAGAAGUCUCCGCUCUAA